Molecule: long non-coding RNA, 380 nt
Filed under: Helianthus annuus (common sunflower)
Lineage: Eukaryota; Viridiplantae; Streptophyta; Magnoliopsida; Asterales; Asteraceae
Description: sRNA HanXRQr2_Chr10g0447421
Source: RNAcentral
GGCGAGAGGUAACGAAGGUGCAGUCGACGAACAAUAGAUGAUGACAACCGGAGGUCGUGGUGGUUAUGGUGAUGAGUUGCAGGUCGUCGGUGAUACAGUGGUCAGAGGUGGUUGAUUAUCGGAGAAGAAGGAGAUGAAGAUUGAAGAUGGUGUCUGACUAAGUUGUGAUGAGAAAACAUUAGCAGCAGCAACAGCAGCUGAUGAGAAUCAUCAUGGAUUUUGUGCCAUUUGUUUGAAUAAGAUUGCGUUACAGGAAACUUCUUUUGUCAAAGGUUGCGAGCAUGCUUACUGGUUGGUUUGUCUCCAUUCUUUAUCAAUCUUAACUGAUUUAAUUUACUCUUGUUGAUGUUACUUUUAUGACAAACAUUUCUAUUUCAUGA